GACGAACGCUGGCGGCGUGCUUAACACAUGCAAGUCGAACGGAAAGGCCCUGCUUUUGUGGGGUGCUCGAGUGGCGAACGGGUGAGUAACACGUGAGUAACCUGCCCUUGACUUUAGGAUAACUUCAGGAAACUGGGGCUAAUACCGGAUAGGAGCUCCUGCUGCAUGGUGGGGGUUGGAAAGUUUCGGCGGUUGGGGAUGGACUCGCGGCUUAUCAGCUUGUUGGUGGGGUAGUGGCUUACCAAGGCUUUGACGGGUAGCCGGCCUGAGAGGGUGACCGGCCACAUUGGGACUGAGAUAAGGCCCAGACUCCUACGGGAGGCAGCAGUGGGGAAUAUUGCACAAUGGGCGGAAGCCUGAUGCAGCAACGCCGCGUGCGGGAUGACGGCCUUCGGGUUGUAAACCGCUUUCGCCUGUGACGAAGCGUGAGUGACGGUAAUGGGUAAAGAAGCACCGGCUAACUACGUG
RNAcentral lists this ribosomal RNA (468 nucleotides) under uncultured bacterium. RNAcentral describes it as "partial 16S ribosomal RNA". It matches the Rfam family "Bacterial small subunit ribosomal RNA", at positions 28 to 507 of the family's 1533-position model. The record is from RNAcentral.